AGUGAACGCUGGCGGUAGGCCUAACACAUGCAAGUCGAACGGCAGCACAGUAAGAGCUUGCUCUUACGGGUGGCGAGUGGCGGACGGGUGAGGAAUACAUCGGAAUCUACUUUUUCGUGGGGGAUAACGUAGGGAAACUUACGCUAAUACUGCAUACGACCUACGGGUGAAAGCAGGGGAUCUUCGGACCUUGCGCGAUUGAAUGAGCCGAUGUCGGAUUAGCUAGUUGGCGGGGUAAAGGCCCACCAAGGCGACGAUCCGUAGCUGGUCUGAGAGGAUGAUCAGCCACACUGGAACUGAGACACGGUCCAGACUCCUACGGGAGGCAGCAGUGGGGAAUAUUGGACAAUGGGCGCAAGCCUGAUCCAGCCAUACCGCGUGGGUGAAGAAGGCCUUCGGGUUGUAAAGCCCUUUUGUUGGGAAAGAAAAGCAGCAGGUUAAUACCCCGCUGUUCUGACGGUACCCAAAGAAUAAACACCGGCUAACUUCGU
RNAcentral lists this ribosomal RNA (491 nucleotides) under uncultured bacterium. RNAcentral describes it as "partial 16S ribosomal RNA". It matches the Rfam family "Bacterial small subunit ribosomal RNA", at positions 29 to 506 of the family's 1533-position model. The record is from RNAcentral.